ACGAAAAUCCGUUGGUUUCGACCGUGAGG
Molecule: transfer RNA, 29 nt
Filed under: Parablechnum procerum
Lineage: Eukaryota; Viridiplantae; Streptophyta; Polypodiopsida; Polypodiales; Blechnaceae
Description: partial tRNA-Leu
Source: RNAcentral